AGCGAAGCGAGAGAACGUUGCGUCAGCAACGGCCCGCAGGGCGAGUCACGCAGUGGCGAGUCAUCCUCUAUCACCGACCA
Molecule: small RNA, 80 nt
Filed under: Salmonella enterica
Lineage: Bacteria; Pseudomonadati; Pseudomonadota; Gammaproteobacteria; Enterobacterales; Enterobacteriaceae
Also listed under: 2 other names
Description: partial RtT sRNA
Rfam family: RtT RNA
About the family: This family represents a bacterial cis-regulatory element known as RtT RNA. The exact function of RtT is unknown although it is thought that it may be involved in changing the cellular response in relation to amino acid starvation.
Source: RNAcentral